GUGCAUAUGGAACAUUUUCGGGAUCUUGUUGCGUUUACAGUUUUGUUCAGUGUAAUUUCUUCAACGUCAUUAUGGUGUCAAGGGCUAUUAUACUAUUAAUAAGAUGCGCCCCCUGCUGGUGAAAGACAUUACUGCUUUGCUAGGGACGUGCCAUCGUAAACUUCUGUGUUUACAGUGGUUGUGAGCUAUCAAGCCAGAGUUCCACUGUGCUUUUUACUGUUGGCAUUUAUUUUCCUUCAGCUGUCAUUAUAUGAAACCUCCACAUCUGGAUCGUGGCGGUAGCAACAGGAAGAAGAUAGAAUAAUUAUCUUGGUCUUCUCGUGGCAAACUUGUCCAAUCAAAGAACAACAUGUUCUCAAUUUACAUCUAUUCUACAGCACGCAGUCGAGGCGGUUGCGCCUUCACUGCCCUUGCAGGAGGACUUUGUGUAUCACUGGAAGGCCAUCACACAUUACUACAUAGAGACAUAGGAUGACAAAGACCCAGUGACAGACACCAACAUCCCGUCUCAUCUGGAGCUGAUUGCUGGACAUCCUGACGCAGGAGGAGUCAGAGAGAGAGUCUGGAGAGACUGGGCCAUGCAUGGAGUACCUGCUGCACCACAAGAUCCUAGAGACCAUCUACACCCAGGGCAAGGCAGAUUGGUGUUUUGCCGCCAGCAGUGUCCUCCGGGAAUGAAGCAACAGGUCCUGAGUUUCUACACCAAGCUGCUAGGAUGCAUUCGCCAGCCUGUUCUACCCCACAUCAAUGUCCAUAGACCUGUACUGGUGAGAUCCCAGAAGUUCUCAUGUAACAUGUAGAUAUAUUUACCAGGGUUGGGUGAUAUUAUGAUAGCAUACAGUGGGUCCUCAACUAAAAGUUUUGAGAUUAUGCUGCGGGAUUUAGAGGUAAUUUAGUACGGUACCCUGUGUACCUGCUUCAUUGCUCCAGACCCUGGAGCAAGCGGGAGUUAGAGCACUAAUUAUGCUUUUGGGUCCUAAGGUGCUAAUAUAUCACUAACUGACAAUGAAUGGGCGAUAUAAACCAAAUAGAAACUGAUAAUUGUGCACGUCUUCAAAGUUGAAUUUCAAUUAACUGAAUGAUGAGGAUGAAGAAGGUGAUUGAAUUUAGAACAAUAAUGUAAGAAUUGCUAUUCCUCUGUCCUGCAUGUUUACACCCUUGUUUCUACUCGUCAAUAUUACUUACUAAAACUGUUGUUACACUAAGGUUUUUAUUCUAGGCGAAACGAAAAAGGUCAAUUAUAUUCCAUGAUAUUCUUAAGAUAUGUGUUGACUGAAUAUAAUCAAAGGAUGUCUGCUAAAUAAUCAAGUUGAUGGCGCAGUCAUAUAGCCCCGGCACCUACAUAAAGCUGAGUGACUCAGCUUUGGAUCAAAAUAAAUAAGUUCCAACAUUCUUUCUGAUACUCUUUAAUAAAGACAUUUUUUGGUUAUUUUCAUAGCCCAUUAUGGGUUGUUAGCAGGACAAUAGACUCUUUCCAACACCUCUCUGUAUUUUGAUACUUUGUGCAAGGCAAUUGAUCAGCAUUAAAAACUUUGAAAUCAUCUCCACAAUAUCACUAUGGUUUUAAACAAGCCAUAGAAAGUUGCUUGCAAUUUCAGUUUAGUCCACCAGAAAAGACAGAACAAAUAAUAUAACAAAUAUUGUGGUUAAACUCAAAUAAAUAUACUAAUUGGUUAAAACAAAACAUUGGCUGUACUAGAUUUUCCGUUCAUCCUGAAGGCCCUAAUCUCCUCACUUAAAUUAAUAGAGAUCCUGGUCAUGUUGCUACAGUAUGCUGUUACAGCAUAAUCAAAGUGAGGACAAAUCGGCGAUCUGCUGUAUACCGUAAUUGCUGGACUAUUAAGCGCACCUGAAAUAUAAACCGCACCCACUGAAUUAUUAAAAAAUAUGUAUUUUGUACAUAAAUAAGCCGCACAUGUCUAUAAGCCG
Molecule: long non-coding RNA, 1929 nt
Organism: Oncorhynchus tshawytscha (Chinook salmon)
Lineage: Eukaryota; Metazoa; Chordata; Actinopteri; Salmoniformes; Salmonidae
Exons: 4
Source: RefSeq, a predicted model, not a curated record